This 77-nucleotide transfer RNA is filed under the name Allobosea vaviloviae. Its description in RNAcentral is "Bosea vaviloviae tRNA-Met". It matches the Rfam family "tRNA". From Rfam's summary of the family: Transfer RNA (tRNA) molecules are approximately 80 nucleotides in length. RNAcentral also lists the same sequence under 4 other names. The record is from RNAcentral. Lineage: Bacteria; Pseudomonadati; Pseudomonadota; Alphaproteobacteria; Hyphomicrobiales; Alloboseaceae.
GGCGGGGUAGCUCAGCCGGUUAGAGCAGCGGAAUCAUAAUCCGCGUGUCGGGGGUUCGAGUCCCUCUCCCGCUACCA